RNAcentral lists this ribosomal RNA (458 nucleotides) under uncultured bacterium. RNAcentral describes it as "partial 16S ribosomal RNA". It matches the Rfam family "Bacterial small subunit ribosomal RNA", at positions 28 to 507 of the family's 1533-position model. The record is from RNAcentral.
GGUGAACGCUGGCGGCGUGCUUAAGACAUGCAAGUCGAACGGGCUCUUCGGAGCCAGUGGCGCACGGGUGAGUAACGCGUAACUGACCUACCCCAAAGUCGCGGAUAACGAUUCGAAAGAAUCGCUAAUACGUGAUGUGCUGUCAGAUCCUGUUCUGCCAGUAAAGAUUUAUUGCUUUGGGAUGGGGUUGCGUUCCAUCAGCUAGUUGGUGGGGUAAAGGCCCACUAAGGCGACGACGGAUCGCCGGCCUGAGAGGGUGGCCGGCCACAGGGGCACUGAGACACGGGUCCCACUCCUACGGGAGGCAGCAGUUAGGAAUCGUCCACAAUGGGCGAAAGCCUGAUGGAGCGACGCCGCGUGAGGGAUGAAGGUCUUCGGAUCGUAAACCUCUGAAUCAGGGACGAAAGACGCGAAAGCGGGAUGACGGUACCUGAGUAAUAGCACCGGCUAACUCCGUG